Molecule: ribosomal RNA, 355 nt
Filed under: Dalmannia aculeata
Lineage: Eukaryota; Metazoa; Arthropoda; Insecta; Diptera; Conopidae
Description: partial 12S ribosomal RNA
Source: RNAcentral
UUUAAAUGUAGAUUUGGAUGCUUGAGUAGUAGUAGUUUAUGGUCUUGAAACUUAAAAAUUUUGGCGGUAUUUUAGUCUAUUCAGAGGAACCUGUUCUGUAAUCGAUAUUCCACGUUGGACCUUACUUGGGCUUGUCUAGUUUAUAUACCGUUGUUAUUGAAUAUUUCAUUAGAAUAUUAAUUUUCUUAAAUUUUAAUUAAAAUAAAUAUCAGAUCAAGGUGUAGCUUAUGCUUAAGUAGAAAUGGGUUACAAUAAAUUUAUUUAUACGGAUGUAGUUAUGAAAACCCUACUGAAGGUGGAUUUGAUAGUAAAAGUUUAUAGAUUAAAGCUUUGAUUUUAGCUCUAAAAUAUGCAC